AGCGAACGCUAGUGGCGGGCUUAACACAUGCAAGUCGAGCGCUUCAUUUCGGUGAAGAGCGGCGGACGGGUGAGUAACGCGUGGGAAUCUGCCCUCUGGUGGGGAAUAACUCGGGGAAACUCGAGCUAAUACCGCAUAUGGCCUCCGGGUCAAAGAUUUAUUGCCAGAGGAUGAGCCCGCGUCCCAUUAUUUAAUCCUAGUUGGUGGGGUAACGGCCUACCAAGGGUACGAUGGGUAGCUGGUCUGAGAGGAUGAUCAGCCACACUGGGACUGAGACACGGCCCAGACUCCUACGGGAGGCAGCAGUGGGGAAUAUUGCGCAAUGGGCGAAAGCCUGACGCAG
This 343-nucleotide ribosomal RNA is filed under the name uncultured bacterium. Its description in RNAcentral is "bacterial SSU rRNA". It matches the Rfam family "Bacterial small subunit ribosomal RNA", at positions 29 to 391 of the family's 1533-position model. The record is from RNAcentral.